CCUACGGGAGACAGCAGUCGGGAAUAUUGCGCAAUGGAGGAAACUCUGACGCAGUGACGCCGCGUGCAGGAAGAAGGUUUUCGGAUUGUAAACUGCUAUAGACAGGGAAGAAAAAAGACAUUACCUGUAGAAUCAGCUCCGGCUAACUACGUGCCAGCAGCCGGGGUAAUACGUAGGGAGCAAGCGUUACCCGGAUUUAUUGGGUGUAAAGGGUGCGUAGACGGAGAAGCAAGCUAGUUGUGAAAUCCCUCGGCUUAACUGAGGAACUGCAACUAAAACUACUUCCCUUGAGUGCAGGAGAGGAAAGUGGAAUUCCUAGUGUAGCGGUGAAAUGCGUAGAUAUUAGGAGGAACACCAGUGGCGAAGGCGACUUGCUGGACAGUAACUGACGUUGAGGCACGAAAGUGUGGGGAGCAAACAGGAUUAGAUACCCCAGUAGUC
Molecule: ribosomal RNA, 441 nt
Filed under: uncultured bacterium
Lineage: Bacteria
Description: partial 16S ribosomal RNA
Rfam family: Bacterial small subunit ribosomal RNA
Source: RNAcentral